This 59-nucleotide transfer RNA is filed under the name Haemonchus contortus (barber pole worm). RNAcentral describes it as "tRNA-Ile". The record is from RNAcentral. Lineage: Eukaryota; Metazoa; Nematoda; Chromadorea; Rhabditida; Trichostrongylidae.
AUUUUAUUAGUAAAAAUAAUUACAUUAUCUUGAUAAGGUAAAGUUCGUUCGAUAAAAUA